CCUACGGGUGGCAGCAGUGAGGAAUAUUGGUCAAUGGACGCAAGUCUGAACCAGCCAUGCCGCGUGCAGGAAGACGGCUCUAUGAGUUGUAAACUGCUUUUGUACGAGGGUAAACGCAGAUACGUGUAUCUGUCUGCAAGUAUCGUACGAAUAAGGCUCGGCUAACUCCGUGCCAGCAGCCGCGGUAAUACGGAGGAUUCAAGCGUUAUCCGGAUUUAUUGGGUUUAAAGGGUGCGUCGGCGGUCGGAUAAGUUAGAGGUGAAAUCCCGAGGCUCAACUUCGGAAUUGCCUCUGAUACUGUUCGGCUAGAGAGUAGUUGCGGUAGGCGGAAUGUAUGGUGUAGCGGUGAAAUGCUUAGAGAUCAUACAGAACACCGAUUGCGAAGGCAGCUUACCAAGCUACUUCUGACGUUGAGGCACGAAAGCGUGGGGAGCAAACAGGAUUAGAUACCCUAGUAGUC
RNAcentral lists this ribosomal RNA (460 nucleotides) under uncultured bacterium. RNAcentral describes it as "partial 16S ribosomal RNA". It matches the Rfam family "Bacterial small subunit ribosomal RNA", at positions 338 to 795 of the family's 1533-position model. The record is from RNAcentral.